GACGGGCCCGCACAAGCAGCGGAGCGUGUGGUUUAAUUCGAUGCUACACGAAGAACCUUACCAGGGUUGACAUACAAGUAGUAGGGAAAGGAAACUGGACCGACCCUUCGGGGAGCUUGUACAGGUGCUGCAUGGCUGUCGUCAGCUCGUGUCGUGAGAUGUUCGGUUAAGUCCGCUAACGAGCGCAACCCUCGCUGUGUGUUACAAGUGUCACACGGAACUGCCGGUCAUAAACCGGAGGAAGGUGGGAUGACGUCAAGUCAGCAUGACCUUUAUAUCCAGGGCUACACACACGCUACAAUGGUCAGUACAAUGGGUUGCCAAGCCGCGAGGCGGAGCCAAUCCUAAAAAGCUGGCCUCAGUUCAGAUUGCAGUCUGAAACUCGACUGCAUGAAGUCGGAGUUGCUAGUAAACGCAGGUCAGCUAUACUGCGUUGAAUACGUUCCCGGGUCUU
Molecule: ribosomal RNA, 454 nt
Filed under: uncultured Anaerolineaceae bacterium
Lineage: Bacteria; Bacillati; Chloroflexota; Anaerolineae; Anaerolineales; Anaerolineaceae
Description: bacterial SSU rRNA
Rfam family: Bacterial small subunit ribosomal RNA
Source: RNAcentral